CCAUAACAUCUUUUUGCCAAACUGCCCACCAGUGGAAGAACAUCUGUGGUCCUCAGGCCAAGCUAGGCCAAACCACACCAAACCAGCCUUUCAAAAAAAGGUCAUGCGUGUUUGCAGAGUUACUCAUGUGGAUGAAUCAACUCCCGUAUCGGUUUCUGUCCUCUCAACUAGAUUCCCUGGGCUGAAAAUGCCUGCCCCGUUUGGUGCAUUACUACGAAAGAGCGAGUCCGGACAUGUCGGAGAGAAAAAAAAACCACGGGCCCUCCUGCACAAAUGCUGAGCACCCAGCCUGGACACGUCUGCUUUCUUUCAAGAGUGAAAAAAGUGUGAUGUGGCUACUUCACAUAGCCAUAAAGUGCUAAUCAAAGUACUGGAGAUCCUGCUGCACUGUGUCGAAGGUAUUCUUCUUUCAAUUUGCGUCAUCUACACCGAGAUCUUUUGAUGAAAACCGCAUGUCUGCAAGUGACUGUGAUUCAAAUCAGAAACGGGAACAUCUGGUUUGAGAUGCUGCUGUUUCAGAUUUCAAAGAAAAAAACUCAACAUAUAAAAAACUCAAAUAUAAAUCAGAUAUUUGGCAAACCAGGCAAAACGAUAUGAUUUCCUGUCUGCACAAUCUGCAAGAAGUCUUGUUUAAGUGACCAGCUUUGAAAGAAAAAAUGUGCUUUUGAGGAAUCAGAGCCAGCCUUCCAAUGUGCAGCUGUUUCUGCAAAACAAAUGCAUCUGAUAAAGGCUCAAUAACUUUAGCUUUAUGAAAUAUAUGAAUAACAAAAUGGUUCUACAGAGAACUAUGAACACUCAAAGAACCUGUUGCCCGAUUAAAGAAUUCUCUGCGUUGUUUAACUGUUCUUCAGAUUGAUGGAGAAUGUGCAGUAUAUGGUUCCAUGUAGAACAUUCCUGAAAAGUGAUCACCAAAAAUGGUUCUUCUACAGUUAUGAUGGCAAGCUUGUAACAACAGAAGAACCCUAUACGGUGCUAUGUAGUAGAACCUUUUUGAAAAGGGUAUCUAGAAGCAUAUACAAUACAAACUGCUUUAAACUGAAGAACGCUUUCACGAUGCCAAAGGCUCUUUGAGUGUUCAUGGUUCUACAUAGAACCAUAUUCUUUACUAAAAAACCCUUGAAGUACCAUCUUUCUCAAGUAUGUACAAGACACUAGCAUAGGGAAGGUAAAAAUCAAAAGAAAGAAAAAAUGGGGUUCAGCAAACCAAAGCCAGAGAGAAUGUGGGACUCCUAACAACCACCUGGAAGACCUGGUUGACAGCAAAACUGUCCUUAUCAGAUAAACAGCAAUUAAUGCUUUCAUCUUUGAGAGAAUCAGGCUGCUUCAGAUCUAUGUCUGUCCAACCUUCCACUGUGAGAAGACACCUCAGCCCUAUGGGUCUGAAAGGAUGUGUAGCUGUUCAAGAAUCCUCACUGAGAAAAGGAGACACAUCAAACAAUGAAGCAGAACUGGACUGACCACCCCAGAGUCCAGACCUCAUCAUCACCGAAUGGAUUACUUCAUGAAACAAAUCAACCGACUUCUAAGACUGAACAUUGGAGGUGUGUCUGCAGAUUUCUGAGAGAAACUGAAAGCGAGUCUCCUGAAAAGAAUGGAAGCUGUAAUAAAGGAAAAGAGCAACAUCUGAUCUUUGUCAGAUGUUGAGGCUUCCGGGUAAUUUCCUGCUAAAUACAUGUUUUCUGCUUUAUUUACUGUUGAUAAAAAGAACCUGUUCUUAA
This is a long non-coding RNA of Pygocentrus nattereri (red-bellied piranha), 1718 nucleotides long. RefSeq lists it as uncharacterized. Lineage: Eukaryota; Metazoa; Chordata; Actinopteri; Characiformes; Serrasalmidae. The transcript is spliced from 2 exons. The record is from RefSeq and is a predicted model, not a curated record.